UACAGGGGGGGCAAGCGUUGUUCGGAAUUACUGGGCGUAAAGGGCUCGUAGGUGGCCAACUAAGUCAGACGUGAAAUCCCUCAGCUUAACUGGGGAACUGCGUCUGAUACUGGAUGGCUUGAGUUUGGGAGAGGGAUGCGGAAUUCCAGGUGUAGCGGUGAAAUGCGUAGAUAUCAGGAGGAACACCGGUGGCGAAGGCGGCAUCCUGGACCGGCAUUGACGCUGAGGCGCGAAAGCCAGGGGAGCAAACGGGG
Molecule: ribosomal RNA, 254 nt
Filed under: uncultured bacterium
Lineage: Bacteria
Description: partial 16S ribosomal RNA
Rfam family: Bacterial small subunit ribosomal RNA
Source: RNAcentral